AGGCCACUGUGUUCACGUCACAGUCUACUCACUAUUAUGUCAUCAAUGGACAGUAGAGAAAAUGAGCUCUCCUGGGAGAUGGUAACACAGAUUUCCACCUUCUGAAAGCUACAGAGGAAUACUGGCCAGGUUCUUUCUGCCUGUUCUGGGCAUGCUGUGCUUUUCAGGAGGUGCAAAACGCUGCUGCUUCUGACAGCAGGGAGAAGUGGCACCUUCAGCUCUGGAAUACAACUGCUGCCAAACUCUCCAUAGAACGGUUCAAGACACAGCAGGUCAUGCAGGCUCAGGAGCAGGAAUGUCUCUGAUGGCUGACAAAUGGCGAAGAUAUUCUCUAUCACAUCAGACUCCAAGGUGUAAUUGCAGACUCUGCUCUAAAUGGCCCAGCAGCCCCAAG
RNAcentral lists this long non-coding RNA (394 nucleotides) under Gallus gallus (chicken). RNAcentral describes it as "long non-coding RNA NONGGAT004683". Lineage: Eukaryota; Metazoa; Chordata; Aves; Galliformes; Phasianidae. The record is from RNAcentral.